Molecule: ribosomal RNA, 481 nt
Filed under: uncultured bacterium
Lineage: Bacteria
Description: partial 16S ribosomal RNA
Rfam family: Bacterial small subunit ribosomal RNA
Source: RNAcentral
GACGAACGCUGGCGGCGUGCUUAACACAUGCAAGUCGAGCGGAAAGGCCCUUUCGGGGGUACUCGAGCGGCGAACGGGUGAGUAACACGUGAGUAAUCUGCCCCUGGCUUUGGGAUAGCCACCGGAAACGGUGAUUAAUACCGGAUACGACCACUUCUCGCAUGGGAUGGUGGUGGAAAGUUUUUCGGCCAGGGAUGUGCUCGCGGCCUAUCAGCUUGAUGGUGAGGUAAUGGCUCACCAUGGCUUCGACGGGUAGCCGGCCUGAGAGUGGUGACCGGUCACACUGGGACUGAGACACGGCCCAGACUCCUACGGGAGGCAGCAGUGGGGAAUAUUGGACAAUGGGCGGAAGCCUGAUCCAGCAACGCCGCGUGAGGGAUGACGGCCUUCGGGUUGUAGACCUCUUUCAGCAGGGACGAAGCGCAAGUGACGGUACCUGCAGAAGAAGCACCGGCCAACUACGUGCCAGCAGCCGCCGCGG